CUACUUCCUGUUUCCUCCAUCAUGUGCAGAUUAGAGUAGUUCCUCAGCCACACCCUGGUCAGCAGCAGCACACAUAAACAGCACAGCUAAAGCUAAUGUCUGUUAACAGUUAAGUCAUCUUUUACUAGAUUGUUAGAAUAUAUACUAUAGCACAUGAUUUUUUUAUUAUUGUGUUUAAGUGUUGUCUGCUGGGUGUGGUUAGGCUUGAAAGGUCAGGUUGUUAAUUGAAUAUCUGCUUCAUGGCUUGCAUUAGGUGAGAGGGGGAAAAAAAUCUGUUAUUCUCUCAUGCAGUAAGGACAGUGUUUUACAAGAUUAUCACUAUAGUCUGUCCACACACACCUCGGUCACCUUUUACAACUCCAUCAAGCAGUAAUCUGAAUAUUUCACUUGGCUUAUCACUCUGAGAUGCUUGAAUAUGUACAAUAAAUAUACAUAUACAAAUAGUUUUUCUGUUUCCCUGCCAAAAAAAACAGUGUUUUAAGACAAAAUUAACAGCCAGAAUGGUGUGAUUCCACACUGAACAUGCAGCUAUUGAAGCUCAGAUUUCGACACAAAUUCUAGUCGCUCAAUCAUCAUAUUCAAGUCGUGCUCAGAGCAACAGGACGUGUCAAUGAUGUGUUUCUGUAAAGCUGUCUUUGCCUGUGUUUCUGACCUGUAAGAUGUUUGAUAUGUGCCUCUGUCCUUUCUCUCUGUGUACUGCUCUGUUCCUCGUGUCAGUCAAGACUGAAAGUCCAGAACAGGGAUUCUUUCCUCUAUUCUCUGGCAGCUCCACACACAACCACCAUGUCAUCUUAUAUUGUUCAAUUUGACACGACACAGCUAUGACAGAUUCUAAUGUGGGGAGGAAACUAGGGGGUCAUUUCGACUGCAAACUGCCUUAAAUAUUUGGAUUUUGCCUACAUGCUAAAAAUGUGAUUAAUCUGCACUGAGUGUCAGAAAUGGAUAGAAUAAGAAUUUCCCUGACUUCUGACUUUCUCCUUGAACUAACCACCUCUCCGCAGUGUCCACCACCUCAGCCAAUACCUGUGAAUGGACUCCCAUCAAUGGCCAGAGGUUGCCAUGUUGAUUCACUAUAACUCCUGUUAUUCAGAUCCCUGCUGCAAACACACACACACACACACACACACACACACACACACACACACACACACACACACACACACACACACACACACACACACACACACACACACACACGCAAUUACACCCUACAGAUGAUGUACACUAAGCUUUAACAACUCUGCAUUCUACAUCCAUUCAUUUAUAGAUUUUAGAGUUUAACCCUCUGAACUUUCAAUUUUAUUAAAUAGUUUAUAUAAUAUUUAGAAGAAUCUUUCUGUAAAAAUGCCAUGUGGUGUUUGGUUACAGGCGGCCAUGUUGAUUUUAGGCCUGAAAACAGCAAAAACAUCAACUAUGAUACAAAAAGUCCCACAAUUAUAUAUUGAUCCAUUUACACUUUUGAUUGAUGCUAGAGGUACGGACCCGUACCCGGGUACGGAUAUAGGGCAUAUAUGACAUAUACAUUGCCAUUGUUUCAUGCCGUGAUUUUGUUUGUAUGUAUACAGCUGUUAUAUAACUUUAACCAUGACAUAGAUCUACUGAAAUACAUCUUAUACUCUAUUAUAAACCUUUCUACACUGCGGCGAUCUCAUUCAUCUUUAUUACUUUUUAAAUAACUGGCCAAAGACAGCGGGUGUAACUAUAGUGAAUGCAGUAGAGACACAUGUAUAUAGAGCACAAGCCAGUUCAUAUCGACAUGGAAGUCCUGUUUGCCGUGAAAAUGGACACUUGAUAGGGGGCACUGGGGUAUUUCAGGCAGCGAGAAUUAAAGAAGCAAAUGGAAAGUGCCGUAUCCGUAGGCCAUAGGCUAGGCGUACGGGUCCGUAUCUGUAGACACUACGUACACUUUUUUACUUCUUUCCAUACUUGUCUAGUCUCUCCUGUGUAAGCCCUGCCAGCAGUUCAGCUGAAAACUCCUUGAUUUAUUGUCACAUGACUGUUGGUUGUAGCUGAAUCGAUUUCACUGUUGAGCCGAGAACCGCGUAAUUUUUUGUUUUCUGCAGAAUCUGUUUAUAGCUAGCGAUCUAUUUCUUUUUCCAUUUUUAAAUGAGACAUGCAGAAUAUAGUAAUUUUGCUAAAAAACAAAAAACUGUUUAAGCUUAGAUAUAGUUGAUUUUCUCUGUGGAACUGCAUGUUGCACAGUGGUGAAUAUAGUGCAAUUUUUAUCUGUUUUGCAGUUUUUGGUUCCGAUACAAGACACUUUUUAAAAAAAAAUAACCUGGUUUUCACACCCACUGGUGGAUUUUGGGGUUCAGAGGGUUAAAAUCCCACUUGAAUACACAACAACUGGCUAAAUGAACAACCACAUGCAUUUUUACUGCACGCUUUCACAUGCAGCACACACAGACCUGACGAUCAGACCACACUGUGCUGAUUCUGGUUGCUGCCCCUGUAGCCUCCCUCCCUGUAGGUGUGCUGUCCACUCGGGGCAGCUGUGAACAUGUUACAGAGAAUGACGUCCCUCCUCCUUUCUUUCCCCGUCCUCCUUCCAUCCCCUCUUGGAAGUGUAACCUCAGGAAUGUGGUGAUAUUGUGCUGAGAUGUAAUGAUGGUGGGUGACAGGCAGUCGGCGGUAAGUUUUGGUCUUCACUAGAGCUCCCCCUCUUAAAAAAAAAAAAAAAAAACCUUGUGCCUGAAGAGUCUGGGCUGUGUUGUGGCCUGACUGUGCCUCUGCUGUCCUGUGUUGUUGGGUGAAACCUCUGCCAUGGACUCAGAAAGGGGGGGGCACCAUCAUUAGACCGGCCUGUAACUCUCUCUGGGUGUGGAUGUGCCUGAUUCUUUCAGUGUGUUCCUCCUCAUCUCCCCCGUUAUUGUAUCUUUCUGUUUUUUCAUUUGAUUUGUGUUUUCCUGAUUUUCAUUAUGAGAUGCUUUUUGUAUUUUAUUACAUGUUUUGUUAUGUCAGGCGGCAGGAAAUACAAUGUUAGAGAGUUACAUAGCAGCAGCAGCAGGAUCUCUGCAAAACUCAACUAGAUAUUUGCAAAGCAGAGAAGUCUAUUUUGCUUGCACUGUAGGAAUAUGAAUCCUUAUCAAAUGAUCGAUUCUGAGGUGCGUGAGGCUGCUAGGUGUCAUACUCCAUUCAUCUUUGUUUUUCACUCAGGCUAUGAUCAUUGUUUUGUUGUGUUUUUCCCUUUGUUUUUUUAGUUUGUUUUAUUUCUGUUUGGUUUGUGCUGUCGUCAUCAUGGGAUCACAGCCCCAGAUGUCAUUGGCCUUGCCUUGCAGAGCUCUGUGAGAAGGACGUUGAGACACUGAGGCCGCUACCGCACAGCUGGCCCGGCUGGGGGGCCGGAGGCCAGGCUCCCCAAAGGGGGGCCCUCCAAGGGGUCGGGCUGAAGGUUCCGUUAGUUUGUCUGUCUUAAAUUAUAUGGGAUUUUAUGCCUCAGCCCGAGAGCGACAUGGAGAGACAAUGUUAGAGGGGCAAGGGUACAAAGGACUUUUCACAUCUCGUCAACUGCCCCAAAAUAACAGACAAACAACCCCUAUGGCCUACUGCUACUAAAAAUACUACGCACAUAAAACCUAUACUAAACAUUGACCUUCUCUCUCAGUGUAUAUACAUGUAUAAAUGCAAUAUUAUACAUGCAUAUACAUGCAUAGAUUUAUGUGUGUAUGUCAAGCAACUCUCCGCCUAUACCAGGGCCGUCUCUCUUCCUUAGUGAAUAUUCUCACUUCUAACAGUUUGGAACCUCUUUUGCUUCUCUGUUUUU
Molecule: long non-coding RNA, 3763 nt
Organism: Acanthochromis polyacanthus (spiny chromis)
Lineage: Eukaryota; Metazoa; Chordata; Actinopteri; Pomacentridae
Exons: 3
Source: RefSeq, a predicted model, not a curated record